This 497-nucleotide ribosomal RNA is filed under the name uncultured bacterium. RNAcentral describes it as "partial 16S ribosomal RNA". It matches the Rfam family "Bacterial small subunit ribosomal RNA", at positions 28 to 507 of the family's 1533-position model. The record is from RNAcentral.
GACGAACGCUGGCGGCGUGCCUAAUACAUGCAAGUUGAGCGCUGAAGGUUGGUACUUGUACCAACUGGAUGAGCAGCGAACGGGUGAGUAACGCGUGGGGAAUCUGCCUUUGAGCGGGGGACAACAUUUGGAAACGAAUGCUAAUACCGCAUAAAAACUUUAAACACAAGUUUUAAGUUUGAAAGAUGCAAUUGCAUCACCCAAAGAUGAUCCCGCGUUGUAUUAGCUAGUUGGUGAGGUAAAGGCUCACCAAGGCGAUGAUACAUAGCCGACCUGAGAGGGUGAGCGGCCACAUUGGGACGGAGACACGGCCCAAACUCCUACGGGAGGCAGCAGUAGGGAAUCUUCGGCAAUGGACGAAAGUCUGACCGAGCAACGCCGCGUGAGUGAAGAAGGAUUUCGGAUCGUAAAACUCUGUUGGUAGAGAAGAACGUUGGUGAGAGUGGAAAGCUCAUCAAGUGACGGUAACUACCCAGAAAGGAACGGCUAACUACGUG